This 820-nucleotide ribosomal RNA is filed under the name uncultured bacterium. Its description in RNAcentral is "bacterial SSU rRNA". It matches the Rfam family "Bacterial small subunit ribosomal RNA", at positions 637 to 1458 of the family's 1533-position model. The record is from RNAcentral.
UAAGCUAGAGUAUNUCAGAGGGGGGUAGAAUUCCACGUGUAGCAGUGAAAUGCGUAGAGAUGUGGAGGAAUACCGAUGGCGAAGGCAGCCCCCUGGGAUAAUACUGACGUUCAUGCUCGAAAGCGUGGGUAGCAAACAGGAUUAGAUACCCUGGUAGUCCACGCCCUAAACGAUGUCAAUUAGCUGUUGGGGCACUUGAUGCCUUAGUAGCGAAGCUAACGCGUGAAAUUGACCGCCUGGGGAGUACGGUCGCAAGAUUAAAACUCAAAGGAAUUGACGGGGACCCGCACAAGCGGUGGAUGAUGUGGAUUAACUCGAUGCAACGCGAAGAACCUUACCUGGUCUUGACAUGUACGGAAUCUUCCAGAGACGGAAGAGUGCCUUCGGGAGCCGUAACACAGGUGCUGCAUGGCUGUCGUCAGCUCGUGUCGUGAGAUGUUGGGUUAAGUCCCGCAACGAGCGCAACCCUUGUCAUUAGUUGCCACCAUUUAGUUGGGCACUCUAAUGAGACUGCCGGUGACAAACCGGAGGAAGGUGGGGAUGACGUCAAGUCCUCAUGGCCCUUAUGACCAGGGCUUCACACGUCAUACAAUGGUCUGUACAGAGGGUAGCCAAGCCGCGAGGUGGAGCCAAUCUCAGAAAACCGAUCGUAGUCCGGAUUGCACUCUGCAACUCGAGUGCAUGAAGUCGGAAUCGCUAGUAAUCGCAGGUCAGCAUACUGCGGUGAAUACGUUCCCGGGUCUUGUACACACCGCCCGUCACACCAUGGGAGUGGGGGAUACCAGAAGUAGGUAGGCUAACCGCAAGGAGGCCGCUUACC